This 432-nucleotide ribosomal RNA is filed under the name uncultured bacterium. RNAcentral's name for it is "partial 16S ribosomal RNA". It matches the Rfam family "Bacterial small subunit ribosomal RNA", at positions 29 to 506 of the family's 1533-position model. The record is from RNAcentral.
AACGAACGCUGGCGGCAUGCCUAACACAUGCAAGUCGAACGAGACCUUCGGGUCUAGUGGCGCACGGGUGCGUAACGCGUGGGAACCUGCCCUUAGGUUCGGAAUAACUCCCCGAAAGGGGUGCUAAUACCGGAUAAUGUCUUCGGACCAAAGAUUUAUCGCCGUUGGAUGGGCCCGCGUUGGAUUAGCUAGUUGGUAGGGUAAAAGCCUACCAAGGCGACGAUCCAGAGCUGGUCGGUGAGGAUGCUCAGCCACACUGGGACUGAGACACGGCCCAGACGCCUACGGGAGGCGGCAGUGGUGAAUAUUGGGCAGUGGGCGAGAGCCUGAUCCAGCAAGGCCGCGUGAGUGAUGAAGGCCUUAGGAUUGUAUAGCUCUUUUACCCGGGAUGAUAUGGACGGAACCGGGAGAAUAAGCUCCGGCUAACUCCGU